UGCCUCUGAGAAUGUGAUACUGCUGUCUGA
This 30-nucleotide non-coding RNA is filed under the name Mus musculus (house mouse). The record is from RNAcentral. Lineage: Eukaryota; Metazoa; Chordata; Mammalia; Rodentia; Muridae.